This is a long non-coding RNA of Planococcus citri (citrus mealybug), 5187 nucleotides long. RefSeq lists it as uncharacterized. The transcript is spliced from 12 exons. Lineage: Eukaryota; Metazoa; Arthropoda; Insecta; Hemiptera; Pseudococcidae. The record is from RefSeq and is a predicted model, not a curated record.
CAUUUUGUUGAAUAACGUGACCGGAUUCAAGCUACUUCUUUACUGUUCUUCUGUUACAUCAGUUUUUUUGUACAGUUUUGCCUGUUUUGCGUAAUUUUGGUCGCUUUUGUUGAGUAAAUUUAUUGCUUAUUUUAUUGCAAUUUAAUUAGCGGUGUUUGCGUCCGUAUUUAUAGUAAGUUUCUGCAUUAUGUUAGCUUUUAUGUAUGUUGGUUCCUCGUACUUAUAUACCUAUUGCCAGAAGAAAAUCUCCGGUUUCCGGUCGUCUUUUCUAUCUCGCCUCAUGGCGCUGGAAUGGAAUAAUACUACAGAAAUGUCGAAGUACUUGGAUACGAGUCGAAUUCGAAUAUUGUUGCAGUGAAUCGUUUAUUGCCAGGGCCAAGAUGUACUUUUUCGGCAUGUUUAAACUCAGACGACCGCAUCGCAUCGAUCAUAUUAUGUAUUUUAUCGAUCAGAAGAAUGAAUAAUGAAGCAUCGUCACCUUCGUAAUCCUGGAAAAUUCGUGAAAAGGAGAAAUAAUAAAUCGUCGUGUUGAUUUUGUUUUUUUGGAUGAUUAUUAAUCUGGUCUGGUGAUGUUAAAAGACGUUCGGUCCUUUGGCGAACAUCAGUUUGUCGCUCGCCUUUGAUUUUCCUCCCACCAGUUCAUUUUACGGUGAUUAGAUACAAGUACAGAAUGUCAGAGCUUUUAUCGAAAUCACCUAUGAGUCGAAUUUUUCGUUGCAGUAUCACUCGUUAGUUGUCAUUUUUUUGAUCAGUCGCAAAAUAUCCGCUUGGUGUACCUAAUACCUAUGUCGGGUCUAUUUGCUGCGUUGCGUUAGUUCAACGGUGAAUUUGAGCGAUUUACGAAAGAAUAAAGAAAGAUGAACAAUGCACAUUUGACAUCAAAUUUUUAAAUUGAUGUUUGAUGUAAUGCCGGUCUUCUCGUUAUUAUUUUACCUUCAUGGUUGAAAUGUGCGUUUAUGGGAGAAAGAAAAGCUGCUGAAUAUUUUCACAUCAGAUUUUCAAAUUGAUGAACGUUGGGCUACCUGAUGUAUUCCUUCAACUUUGAGCAUUUGUGGAAGAAAGAAAAUGAAGAAAUGGAUAUGGAUAAUAUUCGACGUCGGAUUUUCGAAUUGCGUACGCGAGAUGUUUCCCCUCCCUCCGAAGAUGAAUUCGACGCGAUUUUUGGAAUUUCUGCUAGGAUUGGAUUGGAUCGGGUAUUGUCUUGGCAGUUAUAGGCAAAUUAGCGGUCGUCAUUGUCCGUCGGUGAUGGCCACUAAUUGAAGUGCCUCCGCAUGAUUGUGGAUGACGGAUAUGAGCCGGAUGAUUGGUCAACGUGGCGACUUACUCAGAUGGACUUCCUGACACGAAUUGUGCUUCCGUGCUGGUGGAUGCUGAUUUCGUUGCGUAUCCGAGCCGUGGCGAGAUCACUAAAGGUAUUCCAUCUGGCCAUUCUCCGAUCCGGUCAGCUUGGGUACGGUCGGAGAGAAAGUCUGCUAUAUAGUCUGUGUUAGUUGGGGUUGAAAUUUACGUGUUUUUUCUGUUGAAAAUUUCUAAAUUUUGUCUUGCUUUUUUAUUUUUCAUUUAUUUAUUUAUUUUUUUUCAAUUCAAUCAUUAUUUUUGGCUUCAUAUUUUCUUACAUUUUUCUCCCGUCUCUAUAAAAGGUGUAAACAAUUUUUACGGGUUGGUUUUGAUAUAAGGCAAGUAUGGCGUGCGAGUUUUCUACGUAAAUUUCAUUUUUUCCAUUUAUUUAUUUUUUAUUUAUUUUUUUCAUUUAAGUUGUCCCUGUGCAUAACUUAUGUCCAACUUUACCAGAUCGUCUCGGUGGCCCAAGGGAAUUGUCGCCGGCGGGCCUGUGGAGUACUGGUAAUGCAAAAUUACAUUUUUUUUUCUGCACAUUCUCUCGAUUUACGCGAAAAGAUCGCAACUUUCGAGUGGAGGAGUUGCGCAACCGGCUCAUGUCUUGGACGUUACGGCGUAGCCUCCGCGUGUCCCAUGAGAUCCCACUCCCUCAGCAGCAACAGUCUGGAUAAGCCAACUUUACCGCUUCGCAAUGCCAUUAAUCGGGUUGGCGGUAAUGCAAAAAGCUGCACUUAAGGUUUUUGGACCGCGCGUAAAGAUCGCUACGCUCGAGGGAAGACGUAGCGCAGGUUCUCCUGGACGUACCCGGUAUCGAUACUGGCGCGGGUUCCUUGAGAAAUCCUCUUCCCUCAACCCAUUCUCAGUCCUUUAGGUGGGGUACCUAUUCUUGUUCAUGAUGAUGCGUGAAGGGGUAAAGUAUGACGGACUUUGCCAAGAUGGAGGAGAUCUAUAUACUGAGACUACUGUAUCCUGUUUCGAUUCCGACGUCUGAAAAUCUCACCUGAAGAUCUGAUCUUCAUCGAUGAUCUACAUCUUUCGAUUCGAAUUGAAGCUCGCGAUUGAAAACUGCACCACCGAUCUUGUUAAACAACGAUAUCAUCGAUAUGACCAUCAUGCUACAUUUUUGUUGAAAUUUUCUACACGCAACAAGUGUUCGCGAUGCUGCAUCCGCAGAGACGGCUGUAAUUCGAUCUUUCGAUUCCAAAGCCCAAAACACCGAAUUCGCAGGAAUUUCAAUAUGUUUGAUGUAAUGCCGGUAUCUACUCGUUAUUUCACUUGAUCGUUGAAAUGCGCAGUUUUUGGAAGAAAGAAAAGCUGAAUAUUUUCACCUCAUAUUAUCGAAUUGCUCAAGAUCAGUUGUUUGAACGGUGGAAAAUGCGUAUUUACGGAAAAUUGGUUAGGAGGCGAAGACCAGACCCUGCAGAUCUAAGAAUGGAAUUCAGAUGCAGAUCCUGGAACCAAUACGUGUGAUAUCAUCAUCAGCUCCACAAUACGAGUAUUCUCCGGCUUCGAACGUGUAACGUCUUACUAUACGUAUGUAAUUUUUGUGAUCUCGAUAUCUCUCGCCUCCCUCCCGCCCCUCCAGUUUCAAUUUUACGCGAUCAGCUUUCGACAGAACAAUACUAGUGUGGCGAUUUUAUUCAGCAGAACCAUGAAUUUUUUAACCGAGCAUCAAGAAGCACUUUUUUGACGAUGAUAAUACAAUGUUUGUUAAUGGAACUUGUCGCUCCCCCCUCUCCCUGCAUCGCAGAACUUGGUACACGUACAAUAAACGCAAUACAGCGCUGAAUAAUUUUUUGAGAAGUACAUAUAGACUUAUUAUAGCUCGGAGAACGAUAUUUUUACACGCAAUUUUUAUGCUGCUGUGCGAAUUUUUUGAAUGGUAUAAUGCUCUCACUGGACUACUUUUGAAUGUAGCAGUUUUGUGUGGUAAUUUUAGCUGCCACAAUUUUUUCUGGCUGAAGAACGAUAUUAUAAAUACUUAGUUAAGUGUACGAAUUCGUAAAUAAUAUGAUUGUGCACCCAACUAACUGAUAUUUGAUGAUUGAAAUGAUUCGAUUGGAAAAGCUGUAUGGUUAUUCCCUGAAGAUGGAAUACGUAGUUCCAUAUUGAGAACUUGCAUGAACGUUAGCUGCUUUGUUUACAUCGAUUUUAUGGACGAUUAUUUGCGUGGAUAUUCAACGUUUUUUUUCCCAAUUGAUGGAAGAAUAUGGUCGAUGUAUUGGAAUUUUUUAAAGCUCGACGUACGAUACGAGUAUUUUUACGCUUUAUUUAGGUACUUUAUUGAAGGGCUCUCUCUUCAUUAAGAUUAUAUGGGCCGUGGGCGAAUAGGGAUGCUAUUUUAGGAUAGGUAUUGCAACGAUAUUCAUUUCGAACAAUUAUUAUUUUUGGCUUUAGUUUUUUGACUUUGAUCAAAUCAGUUAUUGUAUUGGGUAUGAUUUAUGAUGUAUUUUUUUUUUGUUUUUUUGAAAAUUGCAUAGGCAUUCGAUGAUUUUGGAUUCAAAAUUGGGAAAAUGUUGGAUGGUUAGUGCGUUUUGAGGAAGGAAAGGUGUUGUUUCACGAUGUAUUAAAUUUGGCUGUUUUCAAAAUUCAUUGUAGGUAUAAGUUGAGCGCCGAUGUUGGUAUCUGGUCAACCUGGAGACCCCACAACAUCGGAAGAGACCCGGAGGGUUUCGCGAUGCCUACUGCGAUCGUCCCCGGCAUCCGGGAUUCCACGGCGGCAUGGUAGGGUCGCAUUAAACGAAGGGUAAAGAGGGAUGGUAGAUUUUACACGUUUAACUAGAUAUCUAACAUUGUUCGAAUCGCAGGUCGAAAGGUCUUUUCAUCGUCGGUGGCGUUCUUUGUGUUACCUCGUGCAUGACUUUUUCCUUCAAAGACACACUGGCGUGUGCUUUUUGGAGCGAACGAGUCGUAUACGAGUUAUCCGAGACGUUUGUCGGCGAUUGGUGGUGCGUGAAAGGUGCGUGUCGAAGCUGUAGGGUCAGGCGAGGUUAGGGUAGAAAUCCGUGCGCCGUCUACUUACUUACUGCUUCCCGGCGGUACACGUGCCGACCGGGGUUUUUACAGGAUCGGCUUAUCAAAGAGGAUGUAGGCUGGCGCCUUUCAGGCGGUCUGUUAUCACGAUGAGUGUAGGGAAUUGAGAUACUGUUCCGGAGAGUUGGGCCCGACAAAGGGUUCGAUUGUCUGGACUGUUGAGAGUGCGCGAAGAGCGGGUGUCGAUCUGGAUUUUUAUGCUUUGUUGGAAUCUAGUUAAAUGUGUAAAGUAUUUCCGUCAUCGUAUUGGGGUAGAGAAAUAAUCAAAAAUUGAUGUAUUAAAAUGUUUAGCAUCGAACUUUCUAUAGGAAUGUGUUUUAGUCAUCAUUGGUCGGAUGGGAGAUGACUGGGGUUCGAUUUCGGUACUGUGUGAAGAGUCAGGUACUACAGGCGAGUCGUUACUGUGUUACGUAUAAGUUAGUUUAUACGAGUCGAUUCAGGCGAGUCGUUAUUUAAUUAUUUAUUAAUUAAGAUUAGUUCAUUUGCGUCAAAUUUGAGAUAUAUAAGACAAGUGACGAGCGAAAUUGUCGAGCAUUAACGCUGUUUGAAAUUAGGACCCCUCCCCCUCCCGCCCCUUUACUUUUUAUGUGUAUUCAUGUUAAUGUUGUAUCAUUUCUGUAUUUCUGUAUUUUCUUUAAAAAAUUUGUAUUACCUAUUCGUGUAUUUUUGUAAUGACCAAUCAUGGUUUUUCGCUGUCGAGCGGCCGGCAGUGUUUUUUACUCCAGAUUGGUCAACGUGUUGUAGAAUUAACUGAAUUAAGUUUGUAUUGAUUUCUUUGCCGUUGAAAUAUUUAAAACAAUGUUCGUUUUGUGUUGU